RNAcentral lists this ribosomal RNA (253 nucleotides) under uncultured bacterium. Its description in RNAcentral is "partial 16S ribosomal RNA". It matches the Rfam family "Bacterial small subunit ribosomal RNA", at positions 524 to 776 of the family's 1533-position model. The record is from RNAcentral.
UACGUAGGGUCCGAGCGUUGUCCGGAAUUACUGGGCGUAAAGAGCUCGUAGGUGGUUUGUCGCGUUGUUCGUGAAAACUCACAGCUCAACUGUGGGCGUGCGGGCGAUACGGGCAGACUGGAGUACUGCAGGGGAGACUGGAAUUCCUGGUGUAGCGGUGGAAUGCGCAGAUAUCAGGAGGAACACCGGUGGCGAAGGCGGGUCUCUGGGCCGCAACUGACGCUGAGGAGCGAAAGCAUGGGGAGCGAACAGG